GGGCCUAAAGCGUCCGUAGCUGGCCGGCCAAGUCCGUUGGGAAAUCCACCCGCUUAACGGGUGGGCGUCCAGCGGAAACUGUCCGGCUUGGAGCCGGAGGACCUGAGGGGUACGUCCGGGGUAGGAGUGAAAUCCUGUAAUCCUGGACGGACCGCCGGUGGCGAAAGCGCCUCAGGAAGACGGACUCGACAGUGAGGGACGAAAGCUAGGGUCUCGAACC
Molecule: ribosomal RNA, 220 nt
Filed under: uncultured archaeon
Lineage: Archaea
Description: partial 16S ribosomal RNA
Rfam family: Archaeal small subunit ribosomal RNA
Source: RNAcentral